UGAAGGGCCAUUGCGGUUGUAAAAUGGGGGUUUUCAAGGAAUAACGGUGGCGUACGGGAAAGUGGGAGUGUUGAAAUACACCCAUAUCUGAGACGAGCCAAAUAGAGAAAAGAAUAACUCAGCCGUGACCAACAAGGCAGGCAGCCGCAGCGACAAUUUCAGUAGGAUUAUUUCUGCAGUCACAUUCGAAAUAUCCCGCGCAAUGUGUGUCGGCGCUGUUUUUCUGUUCGGAGUAGCCGCGCCUUGGCGCUGCACACAGGACGCCGAAAGUCGGAGCGGUCGGAACUACGCGCGGAGGAGCACAAGCCUUCGGAGCGCGCGCGCGGGCGUUGAAAGCCUCAAAGGGGCAGCCAUUGUCAGCGGCGGCGCAUUCUUCUACCGUGGUUGUUGUUUCUCACAGCAUUGAACCCCCAAGACUCCACGAUUACUGGAUACGCCGUCACUUGAACCUCGGCGGCCGGAGCAGGACUGUGGUUGCGGUCGUUUCGUUGCCAGCUGUGAGGAUGAAGCAGCUUCAUAACCGGAGAUCAGUCGCCUCCCAUCAGUUUCCCUUUUCAGCAAUAGAGGUCUUGGUAUGCU
Molecule: non-coding RNA, 579 nt
Organism: Dermacentor albipictus
Lineage: Eukaryota; Metazoa; Arthropoda; Arachnida; Ixodida; Ixodidae
Source: RefSeq, a predicted model, not a curated record